CCUACGGGUGGCAGCAGUGAGGAAUAUUGGUCAAUGGGCGCGAGCCUGAACCAGCCAAGUAGCGUGAAGGAUGACUGCCCUACGGGUUGUAAACUUCUUUUAUAAAGGAAUAAAGUGAGGCACGUGUGCUUUUUUGUAUGUACUUUACGAAUAAGGAUCGGCUAACUCCGUGCCAGCAGCCGCGGUAAUACGGAGGAUCCGAGCGUUAUCCGGAUUUAUUGGGUUUAAAGGGAGCGUAGAUGGGUUGUUAAGUCAGUUGUGAAAGGUUGGGGCUUAACCGGAAAAUUGCAAUUGAUACUGGCGGUCUUGAGUACAGUUGAGGUAGGCGGAAUGCGUGGUGUAGCGGUGAAAUGCUUAGAUAUCACAAAGAACUCCGAUUGCGAAGGCAGCUUACUAAUCUGCCACUGACAUUGAUGCACGAAAGUGUGGGUAGCAAACAGGAUUAGAUACCCCGGUAGUC
This 460-nucleotide ribosomal RNA is filed under the name uncultured bacterium. RNAcentral's name for it is "partial 16S ribosomal RNA". It matches the Rfam family "Bacterial small subunit ribosomal RNA", at positions 338 to 795 of the family's 1533-position model. The record is from RNAcentral.